RNAcentral lists this ribosomal RNA (468 nucleotides) under uncultured bacterium. Its description in RNAcentral is "partial 16S ribosomal RNA". It matches the Rfam family "Bacterial small subunit ribosomal RNA", at positions 28 to 507 of the family's 1533-position model. The record is from RNAcentral.
GACGAACGCUGGCGGCGUGCUUAACACAUGCAAGUCGAACGGAAAGGCCCUGCUUUUGUGGGGUGCUCGAGUGGCGAACGGGUGAGUAACACGUGAGUAACCUGCCCUUGACUUUGGGAUAACUUCAGGAAACUGGGGCCAAUACCGGAUAGGAGCUCCUGCUGCAUGGUGGGGGUUGGAAAGUUUCGGCGGUUGGGGAUGGACUCGCGGCUUAUCAGCUUGUUGGUGGGGUAGUGGCUUACCCAGGCUUUGACGGGUAGCCGGCCUGAGAGGGUGACCGGCCACAUGGGGACUGAGAUACGGCCCAGACUCCUACGGGAGGCAGCAGUGGGGAAUAUGGCACAAUGGGCGGAAGCCUGAUGCAGCAACGCCGCGUUCGGGAUGACGGCCUUCGGGUUGUAAACCGCUUUCGCCUGUGACGAAGCGUGAGUGACGGUAAUGGGUAAAGAAGCACCGGCUAACUACGUG